GUCAGAACCUUGGAGGCUGUCAACAAGUCAGACACCACAGCAGUACAUUGAUCUGAAGAAGAACCCAGAAAUGUUAGCCUCUGGUGGAGGGUUUGGGCCGGUGGCUGAUGAUGGUUAUGGUGUUUCUUACAUGAUCUUGGGUGAAAAUUUCAUUCAUUUCCAUGUCUCCAGCAAAAUAUCUUGUUCUGAGACGGAUUCUCAUCGUUUUGGAAAGAACAUCCAGAAAGCAAUGGUUGACAUCAUGGGUUUAUUUAACCUUAGUAAAAACUGUACAAAGUGAUCUGCUUUCCUGGUGCCAAGCAAGCUCCUCUUGGUGGGAUGAGAACUCUUCUGCACAGGGAACAAGAGCAAGGUUUGUCGAAGAGUAGCUGGAGAAGAAACUGAGUCAUCACCUUCUUGAUCACCUAUUAAAGCCUUAGCAGUAUAUUAAAUG
Molecule: non-coding RNA, 433 nt
Organism: Cyanistes caeruleus (blue tit)
Lineage: Eukaryota; Metazoa; Chordata; Aves; Passeriformes; Paridae
Source: RefSeq, a predicted model, not a curated record